ACUAAAGAUAGAACCAGCAGGCCCUUCCAGGCAGCUAAAAGCCUCCAGAGUAAGAGGUGUUCCCCAUUCUGCAGACUCCUUGAAAUACCCUUUCAGUAAUUCUACCAAUACCUCCAUGUCUCUACUCUGCCAUAACAAAGGCUGUGGGCAACAAUUUGACCCCAAUACCAACCUUUCUGAUUCCUGUUGCUAUCACCCUGGGGUCCCAAUCUUCCAUGAUGCUCUCAAGGGUUGGUCCUGCUGCCAAAAGAGAACUAUAGAUUUCUCUGAGUUCUUAAACAUCAAGGGCUGUACUAUGGGACUACACUGUGCUGAAAAGCUUCCUGAGGCCCCUCAAUCUGAGGGCCCUGCUACAAGUUCGCUUCAGGAGCAAAAACCUCUGAAUACAAUUCCAAAGUCAGCAGAGACCUUGUGCCGAGAAAGGCCUAAGUCUGAUUUGCCCCUGAAGCUGCUGCCACUAAAUAUAUCUCAUGUCCUAGAAAUGGCAUUGGAACAAAAAGAACUAGACCAGGAACCUGGAGCAGGAAUUGAUAGUAGUCUGAUCUGGACUGGUUCCAGCUGCCAGAACCCAGGAUGUGACGCAGUUUACCAAGGCCCAGAGAGUGAUGCUACUCUAUGUACCUACCACCCAGGAGCACCUCGAUUCCAUGAAGGGAUGAAGUCUUGGAGUUGUUGUGGCAUCCAGACCCUGGAUUUUGGGGCAUUCCUGGCACAGCCAGGAUGCAGAGUUGGUAGACAUGACUGGGGGAAACAGCUGCCAGCAUCUUGCCGCCAUGAUUGGCACCAAACAGAUUCCUUAGUAGUGAUGACUGUAUAUGGCCAGAUUCCACUUCCUGCAUUCAACUGGGUGAAGGCCAGUCAAACUGAGCUUCAUGUCCACAUUGUCUUUGAUGGUAACCGUGUUUUCCAAGCACAGAUGAAGCUCUGGGGGAUCCUAUGUUUUGGAGAACCACCAGAAGCUCCUGAGAUCCACGCCAUGUUGGAACUUAGGACCCUGGGAAAUCACGCAAGAAGCUUGCCUCCCUGGUAAGAGGCUGCGGUGUGGCACACUGCAGCCCUUCCUGUGGGAGAACCACCAGCGGCUCCUGAUAUCUGCGCCAUGUUGGAACUUAAGAUGCUGGGAAACGAAGCAAGCAGCUCCCCUCCCUGGAGGCUCGGAAGCCAAGCAAGCACCUCCCCUCCUGGUUAGUGGCUGUGGUGUGGCAGACUGCACCCCUUCCAGGGGGAGAACCACCAGUGUCUCCUGAGAUCUGCACCAGGUUUGAACUUAGGGUGCUGGGAAACCAAGCAAGCAGCUCCCCUCCCAGGUAAGUGGCAGUGGUGUGGCAGACUGUGCCCCUUCCAGCGGGAGAACCACCUGAAAUCUGUGCCGUGUUGGAUCUUAGGACCCUGGGAAACCAACAAGCUCACCUCCCUGUUUAGUGGCUGCAGUGUGGCAGAGUGAAGCCCUUCCGGGGGAGAACCACUAGUGUUUCCCGAGAUUCACGCCAUGUUGGAACUUAGGACCCUGGGAGACCAAGCAAGCAGCUCCCAUCCCUGUGAUGGCGUGUAGCAGACUGUGGCUCUUCAAGGGGAGAAUCACCAGUGUCUCCUGAGAUCUGUGCUGUGUUGGAUCUUAGGACCCUGCGAAACCAAGCAAGAACCUCACCUCCCUGGUUACUAGCUGCAGUGUGGCAGACUAUGGCCUCUUUAGGGGGAGAACCACCAGUGUCUUCUGAGAUCCACAUCAUGUUGAAAUUUACAAUGCUGGGAAACCAAGCAACCAGCCUGCCUCCCUGCUAAGCAAUAGGAGCCUACUGGUGCACGGCCUAGCGUCAAACAUCCCAGUUCCCCUACCCCCCUUCUUCUGUCCCCCUGUUAGCAAAUGAGAACCAGAAAUCUGAGCAUCUACUGGGAGGUUGACCAUAGCAAAUAAUGAGGAUUUCCUUCUACCAUCUCUUUGAAGGCAAAUAUUUUUAUUACUGUUUUGCUUUAUUCUGAUUAAUGGUACUGCUCUAUUCAAUAUUCUAUUUUGUUGAGUUCUAUAAUGUUUUGUAUUUCAUUUUAUUUUGAUAUACGUGAUUGAAAGAACAACUAUUUUAAAGAUAACGAAAUAUGCUGUGAUACCUAUUACUGUUAUCCCGGUAACCUGCUAUGAAGUUCUGUACCAAUUUCACUGUACAAUCUUAGUUGGCUUUAUUCUGUCUUGUUCUGUUGUAUUUUACUACUUUCAAAAUAAAAUUUUAAAAAAUG
This is an RNA transcript of Cavia porcellus (domestic guinea pig), 2232 nucleotides long. It is a transcript of the gene named integrin subunit beta 1 binding protein 2, with no coding region annotated. The record is from RefSeq and is a predicted model, not a curated record. The transcript is spliced from 13 exons. Lineage: Eukaryota; Metazoa; Chordata; Mammalia; Rodentia; Caviidae.